CUGUCCCAGGUUAGGGGAAGGGUUGGGAUCCCGCUAACAUGUUUAACCCCGCCACAUUAUUUAUGUAUGUGCCUGUCCCAAGUCAGGAACCUGUAUAUUCAGUGGUUGUCGUUUGUUUAUGUGUUACAUAUUUGUUUUUCGUUCAUUUUUUUCCCCCAUAAAUAAGGCCGUUAGUUUUCUCGUUUGAAUUGUUUUACAUUGUCUUAUCGGGGCCUUUUAUAGCUGACUAUGCGGUAUGGGCUUUGCUCAUUGUUGAAGGCCGUACGGUGACCUAUAGUUGUUAAUGUCUGUGUCAUUUUGGUCUUUUGUGGAUAGUUGUCUCAUUGGCAAUCAUACCACAUCUUCUUUUUUA
Molecule: long non-coding RNA, 352 nt
Filed under: Mytilus galloprovincialis (Mediterranean mussel)
Lineage: Eukaryota; Metazoa; Mollusca; Bivalvia; Mytilida; Mytilidae
Source: RNAcentral